CAGAAGUAGAUAGGGUAACCGCAAGGAGCCCGUUUACCACGGUAUGUUUCAUGACUGGGGUGAAGUCGUAACAAGGUAGCCGUAGGGGAACCUGCGGCUGGAUCACCUCCUUU
This 113-nucleotide ribosomal RNA is filed under the name Kingella kingae. Its description in RNAcentral is "partial 16S ribosomal RNA". It matches the Rfam family "Bacterial small subunit ribosomal RNA", at positions 1421 to 1533 of the family's 1533-position model. The record is from RNAcentral. Lineage: Bacteria; Pseudomonadati; Pseudomonadota; Betaproteobacteria; Neisseriales; Neisseriaceae.